RNAcentral lists this long non-coding RNA (191 nucleotides) under Saimiri boliviensis boliviensis (Bolivian squirrel monkey). Its description in RNAcentral is "lncRNA (ENSSBOG00000036655.1)". Lineage: Eukaryota; Metazoa; Chordata; Mammalia; Primates; Cebidae. The record is from RNAcentral.
CAAGUACCUGCCAAACGCUGUUGUGGAAACCUCUUUCCUGGGAAAACAAAGGUCAUGACAUUUUGAGCACAAUCAAGUGUGGGAUGCAUUCAUCAAUAGAGCUGGAAGCACCAACCACCAUAGGAGCACCUGUGAAUGCUCACUAAGAUGUACCAACAGGAAGACCACGACUUCAAGUCUUCAACCAGUCC